AUUAGGAAUCUUGUGCAAUGGGCGAAAGCCUGACACAGCGACGCCGCGUGAGGGAGGACGGCCUUCGGGUUGUAAACCUCUUUUGACGUGGAAGAAACAAAUGACGGUACACGUCGAAUAAGCCCCGGCUAACUCCGUGCCAGCAGCCGCGGUAAUACGGAGGGGGCGAGCGUUGUCCGAAGUUACUGGGCGUAAAGCGCGCGUAGGCGGGUAGACAAGUCCGCUGUGAAAGCCCGGUGCUUAACACCGGAGGGUCGGUGGAUACUGUUUGCCUUGAAGGUGCUAGGGAGAGGUGGAAUUACCGGUGUAGCGGUGAAAUGCGUAGAGAUCGGUAGGAACACCAGUGGCGAAGGCGGCCUCUUGGAGCACUCUUGACGCUGAGGCGCGAAAGCUGGGGGAGCGAACGG
This 407-nucleotide ribosomal RNA is filed under the name uncultured bacterium. RNAcentral's name for it is "bacterial SSU rRNA". It matches the Rfam family "Bacterial small subunit ribosomal RNA", at positions 354 to 775 of the family's 1533-position model. The record is from RNAcentral.